GACGAACGCUGGCGGCGUGCUUAACACAUGCAAGUCGAGCGAGGCCCCUCCUUCGGGAGGGUGUCCUAGCGGCGAACGGGUGAGUAACACGUGGGCAACCUGCCCUCAGCUCUGGGAUAACUCCGGGAAACCGGGGCUAAUACCGGAUACGACCUCCACGGGCAUCUGCGGAGGUGGAAAGUUUUUCGGCUGAGGAUGGGCCCGCGGCCUAUCAGCUAGUUGGUGGGGUAGUGGCCCACCAAGGCGACGACGGGUAGCCGGCCUGAGAGGGCGACCGGCCACACUGGGACUGAGACACGGCCCAGACUCCGACGGGAGGCAGCAGUGGGGAAUAUUGCGCAAGGGACGAAAGCCUGACGCAGCGACGCCGCGUGAGGGACGAAGGCCUUCGGGUUGUAAACCUCUUUCAGCAGGGACGAAGCGAAAGUGACGGUACCUGCAGAAGAAGCACCGGCCAACUACGUG
This 465-nucleotide ribosomal RNA is filed under the name uncultured bacterium. Its description in RNAcentral is "partial 16S ribosomal RNA". It matches the Rfam family "Bacterial small subunit ribosomal RNA", at positions 28 to 507 of the family's 1533-position model. The record is from RNAcentral.